This 227-nucleotide unclassified non-coding RNA is filed under the name Hevea brasiliensis (rubber tree). The record is from RNAcentral. Lineage: Eukaryota; Viridiplantae; Streptophyta; Magnoliopsida; Malpighiales; Euphorbiaceae.
UAUCUACUAGCCACCAUAGAGAUAAACUCCUAGGGUACAGAGAAAAAGUGUUUCAUCCAAGAAGUGAAGUUGAGGGUGCCUCAAGAAAAUCCAAGCUGGGAAGAAACACAGCAACUAAGCCUGUCUCGAAACCAAAGCAAGGGCUUCAGUCCAUCAACAACAAUAUUAAUGCAUUGAAAAGAAAACGCCAUUCUUUGGUAUCAAAGGUACCAAAUGCUGAAGCACCC